GGAUUUGUGCCUGAAUUAAAGGACCACUUUGAUAGAGUGAACUAUGAGGGUUAAAAUCCCUCCAACUCCU
This 70-nucleotide transfer RNA is filed under the name Paretroplus maculatus. RNAcentral describes it as "tRNA-Ile". It matches the Rfam family "tRNA". From Rfam's summary of the family: Transfer RNA (tRNA) molecules are approximately 80 nucleotides in length. The record is from RNAcentral. Lineage: Eukaryota; Metazoa; Chordata; Actinopteri; Cichliformes; Cichlidae.